CCCGCCGAGGGGCGCUGCGACCGUUUAUUCGUGAAUGCGGAUCCAUCCGCGACUGCCUGCAUAUCCCUGUGCAGACUCCUCACGAAACCGGCCAGGCUCGGCGCGGCACGUUCCACAACGGCGCUCAGUACGC
Molecule: non-coding RNA, 133 nt
Filed under: Rhodanobacter spathiphylli
Lineage: Bacteria; Pseudomonadati; Pseudomonadota; Gammaproteobacteria; Lysobacterales; Rhodanobacteraceae
Description: Rhodanobacter sp. SAH sequence
Rfam family: SAH (S-adenosyl-L-homocysteine) riboswitch aptamer
Source: RNAcentral